RNAcentral lists this ribosomal RNA (498 nucleotides) under uncultured bacterium. Its description in RNAcentral is "partial 16S ribosomal RNA". It matches the Rfam family "Bacterial small subunit ribosomal RNA", at positions 28 to 507 of the family's 1533-position model. The record is from RNAcentral.
GACGAACGCUGGCGGCGUGCCUAAUACAUGCAAGUCGAACGAGAGCAACCGGUGCUUGCCCUGGUCAAUCUAGUGGCGAACGGGUGAGUAACACGUGGGUAACCUGCCCAUCAGAGGGGGAUAACAUCCGGAAACGGAUGCUAAAACCGCAUAGGUCUUCGAACCGCAUGGUUUGAAGAGGAAAAGAGGCGCAAGCUUCUGCUGAUGGAUGGACCCGCGGUGCAUUAGCUAGUUGGUGAGGUAACGGCUCACCAAGGCCGUGACGCAUAGCCGACCUGAGAGGGUGAUCGGCCACAUUGGGACUGAGACACGGCCCAAACUCCUACGGGAGGCAGCAGUAGGGAAUCUUCCGCAAUGGACGCAAGUCUGACGGAGCAACGCCGCGUGAGUGAAGAAGGUUUUCGGAUCGUAAAACUCUGUUGUUAGAGAAGAACAAGUGCUAGAGUAACUGUUAGCGCCUUGACGGUAUCUAACCAGAAAGCCACGGCUAACUACGUG